AGAUAUCAUCGAAGGUCCUCCAAGCUCACAAAACAGCUCCGAGAGGAUCCAAGUUUCUUUCUCAUUCGUUCCAUCGAUGGCGGCUCUUUCGACAUCUCUCUCUCUUCCCAGGAAUACUCAACAACUCCACCCUCCAUCUGGCUUUCUCUGAAGCCAGUUGCUCGUCGUGUCAACGUUUCUUUCGGUCUGAAUCCUUCUAAAAAAGCUCCAGUUUUCUGCUCCCAGAAGCAAAAGGAUCCUAACCAUCCAAUCAGCAUACAGAGAUGAUGACAGUUCAGGAAGCACUGGCCUAUUUGUGGAGGG
Molecule: long non-coding RNA, 303 nt
Organism: Raphanus sativus (radish)
Lineage: Eukaryota; Viridiplantae; Streptophyta; Magnoliopsida; Brassicales; Brassicaceae
Exons: 3
Source: RefSeq, a predicted model, not a curated record